RNAcentral lists this transfer RNA (76 nucleotides) under Puccinia sorghi. It matches the Rfam family "tRNA". Rfam says of the family: Transfer RNA (tRNA) molecules are approximately 80 nucleotides in length. Lineage: Eukaryota; Fungi; Basidiomycota; Pucciniomycetes; Pucciniales; Pucciniaceae. The record is from Rfam by way of RNAcentral.
GUGUAAUUAUCUCAAUUUUCAAAGAAUCACAAAUGAAUGAAUGCUGAAUUUGUGGGUUCAAGUCCCACAGUACACA